Molecule: ribosomal RNA, 254 nt
Filed under: uncultured bacterium
Lineage: Bacteria
Description: partial 16S ribosomal RNA
Rfam family: Bacterial small subunit ribosomal RNA
Source: RNAcentral
UACGGGGGGAGCAAGCGUUGUUCGGAUUUACUGGGCGUAAAGGGCGCGUAGGCGGCGUGACAAGUCACUUGUGAAAUCUCCGGGCUUAACCCGGAGCGGCCAAGUGAUACUGUCGUGCUAGAGUGCGGAAGGGGCUACUGGAAUUCUCGGUGUAGCGGUGAAAUGCGUAGAUAUCGAGAGGAACACCUGCGGCGAAGGCGGGUGAGCUGGGCCGACACUGACGCUGAGGCGCGAAAGCCAGGGGAGCGAACGGG